CCCUUAGAUGUCCUGGGCUGCACGCGCGCUACACUGACGAAGGCAACGAGCUUUCCUUUACCGAAAGGUACGGGUAAUCUUUUGAAACUUCGUCGUGCUGGGGAUAGAUCCUUGCAAUUUUUGAUCUUAAACGAGGAAUGCCUAGUAAGCGCAAGUCAUCAACUUGCGUUGAUUACGUCCCUGCCCUUUGUACACACCGCCCGUCGCUACUACCGAUUGAAUGGUUUAGUGAGGCCUUCGGAUCCGCGACUCGUUUGUGGAGAAGUUGGACAAACUCAGUCAUUUAGAGGAAGUAAAAGUCGUAACA
This 307-nucleotide ribosomal RNA is filed under the name uncultured eukaryote. Its description in RNAcentral is "partial 18S ribosomal RNA". It matches the Rfam family "Eukaryotic small subunit ribosomal RNA", at positions 1470 to 1796 of the family's 1831-position model. The record is from RNAcentral.